ACGUUGGGAAUCUACCUCUAACACAGGGAUAGCUCGUCGAAAGACGAAUUAAUACCUGAUAGUCCCUAUACCUGUAAUGGUAUUGGGUAAAGCUCCGGUGGUUAGAGAUGAACCUGCGACUUAUCAGCUUGUUGGUGAGGUAAUGGCUCACCAAGGCUAUUACGAGUAGCUGGUCUGAGAGGAUGGUCAGCCACACUGGGACUGUGACACGGCCCAGACUCCUACGGGAGGCAGCAAUCAGGAAUCUUGCGCAAUGGGGGAAACCCUGACGCAGCGACGCCGCGUGAAGGAUGACGGCCUUCGGGUUGUAAACUUCUUUUAUACAGGACGAUAAUGACUUUACUGUACGAAUAAGCGCCUGCUAACUACGUGCCAGCAGCCGCGGUAAUACGUAGGGCGCAAACGUUAUCCGGGAUUAUUGGGCGUAAAGGGUUGCGUACGCGGUUUAUUAAGUUCUUAGUGAAAUCCUUCGGCUCAACUGAAGACCCGCUAAGAAUACUGGUAGACUAGAAGCCAUGGAGGGGAAAGUGGAACUCUUGGUGUAGGGGUGAAAUCCGUUGAUAUCAAGAGGAACACCAAAGGCGUAGGCAACUUUCUGGCCAUGUUUUGACGCUGAUGCACGAAAGCGUGGGGAGCGAAACGGAUUAGAUACCCGUG
This 657-nucleotide ribosomal RNA is filed under the name uncultured bacterium. RNAcentral describes it as "bacterial SSU rRNA". It matches the Rfam family "Bacterial small subunit ribosomal RNA", at positions 115 to 790 of the family's 1533-position model. The record is from RNAcentral.